CAGUCGCCGCGGUAAUACGAGGGGAGCUAGCGUUAUUCGGAAUUACUGGGCGUAAAGCGCACGUAGGCGGCUUUGUAAGUUAGAGGUGAAAGCCCAGAGCUCAACUCUGGAAUUGCCUUUAAGACUGCAUCGCUUGAAUCCAGGAGAGGUGAGUGGAAUUCCGAGUGUAGAGGUGAAAUUCGUAGAUAUUCGGAAGAACACCAGUGGCGAAGGCGGCUCACUGGACUGGUAUUGACGCUGGGGUGCGAAAGCGUGGGGAGCAAACAGGAUUAGAUACCCCCGUAGUCCCUGUCUCUUAUAC
Molecule: ribosomal RNA, 301 nt
Filed under: uncultured bacterium
Lineage: Bacteria
Description: partial 16S ribosomal RNA
Rfam family: Bacterial small subunit ribosomal RNA
Source: RNAcentral